RNAcentral lists this ribosomal RNA (709 nucleotides) under uncultured bacterium. RNAcentral describes it as "bacterial SSU rRNA". It matches the Rfam family "Bacterial small subunit ribosomal RNA", at positions 1 to 750 of the family's 1533-position model. The record is from RNAcentral.
UUCCCCCUUAGAGUUUGAUCCUGGCUCAGAGCGAACGCUGGCGGCAGGCUUAACACAUGCAAGUCGAACGGGCCCCUUCGGUGGUCAGUGGCAGACGGGUGAGUAACACGUGGGAACGUGCCCUUUGGUUCGGAACAACUGCGGGAAACUGGAGCUAAUACCGGAUAAGCCCUUCGGGGGAAAGAUUUAUCGCCAAAGGAUCGGCCCGCGUCUGAUUAGCUAGUUGGUGAGGUAAUGGCUCACCAAGGCGACGAUCAGUAGCUGGUCUGAGAGGAUGAUCAGCCACACUGGGACUGAGACACGGCCCACACUCCUACGGGAGGCAGCAGUGGGGAAUAUUGGACAAUGGGCGAAAGCCUGAUCCAGCCAUGCCGCGUGAGUGAUGAAGGCCUUAGGGUUGUAAAGCUCUUUCGGCGGGGACGAUAAUGACGGUACCCGCAAAAGAAGCCCCGGCUAACUUCGUGCCAGCAGCCGCGGUAAUACGAAGGGGGCUAGCGUUGCUCGGAAUCGCUGGGCGUAGAGGGCGCGUACGCGUAUCUUUAAGUCGGGGGGUGAAAGCCCAGGGCUCAACCCUGGAAUUGCCUUCGAUACUGAAGAUCUCGAGACCGGAAGAGGUGAGUGGAACUGCGAGUGUAGAGGUGAAAUUCGUAGAUAUUCGCAAGAACACCAGUGGCGAAGGCGGCUCACUGGUUCUGGUUCUGACGCUGAG